Molecule: ribosomal RNA, 198 nt
Filed under: uncultured bacterium
Lineage: Bacteria
Description: partial 16S ribosomal RNA
Rfam family: Bacterial small subunit ribosomal RNA
Source: RNAcentral
ACGCUCGACACCUACGGGAGGCAGCAGUGGGGAAUAUUGCACAAUGGGGGAAACCCUGAUGCAGCGACGCCGCGUGAGCGAAGAAGUAUUUCGGUAUGUAAAGCUCUAUCAGCAGGGAAGAAAGUGACGGUACCUGACUAAGAAGCACCGGCUAAAUACGUGCCCGCAGCCGCGGUAAUCUGAGCGGGCUGGCAAGGC